This 462-nucleotide ribosomal RNA is filed under the name uncultured bacterium. Its description in RNAcentral is "partial 16S ribosomal RNA". It matches the Rfam family "Bacterial small subunit ribosomal RNA", at positions 28 to 507 of the family's 1533-position model. The record is from RNAcentral.
GACGAACGCUGGCGGCGUGCUUAACACAUGCAAGUCGAGCGGUAAGGCCUUUCGGGGUACACGAGCGGCGAACGGGUGAGUAACACGUGGGUGAUCUGCCCUGCACUUCGGGAUAAGCCUGGGAAACUGGGUCUAAUACCGGAUAUGACCUCCUAUCGCAUGGUGGGUGGUGGAAAGAUUUAUCGGUGCAGGAUGGGCCCGCGGCCUAUCAGCCUGUUGGUGGGGUAAUGGCCUACCAAGGCGACGACGGGUAGCCGACCUGAGAGGGUGACCGGCCACACUGGGACUGAGACACGGCCCAGACUCCUACGGGAGGCAGCAGUGGGGAAUAUUGCACAAUGGGCGAAAGCCUGAUGCAGCGACGCCGCGUGAGGGAUGACGGCCUUCGGGUUGUAAACCUCUUUCAGCAGGGACGAAGCGCAAGUGACGGUACCUGCAGAAGAAGCACCGGCUAACUACGUG